Molecule: ribosomal RNA, 228 nt
Filed under: uncultured bacterium
Lineage: Bacteria
Description: partial 16S ribosomal RNA
Rfam family: Bacterial small subunit ribosomal RNA
Source: RNAcentral
GUGGCUUAUUCGACGCAACGCGAAGAACCUUACCAAGGCUUGACAUAUACCGGAAAGCAUCAGAGAUGGUGCCCCCCUUGUGGUCGGUAUACAGGUGGUGCAUGGCUGUCGUCAGCUCGUGUCGUGAGUUGUUGGGUUAAGUCCCGCAACGAGCGCAACCCUUGUUCUGUGUUGCCAGCAUGCCCUUCGGAGUGAUGGGGACUCACAGGAGACUGCCGGGGUCAACUC